This 455-nucleotide ribosomal RNA is filed under the name Streptococcus sp. oral taxon C08. RNAcentral describes it as "bacterial SSU rRNA". It matches the Rfam family "Bacterial small subunit ribosomal RNA", at positions 28 to 467 of the family's 1533-position model. Lineage: Bacteria; Bacillati; Bacillota; Bacilli; Lactobacillales; Streptococcaceae. The record is from RNAcentral.
GACGAACGCUGGCGGCGUGCCUAAUACAUGCAAGUAGAACGCUGAAGCUUGGUGCUUGCACCGAGCGGAUGAGUUGCGAACGGGUGAGUAACGCGUAGGUAACCUGCCUGGUAGCGGGGGAUAACUAUUGGAAACGAUAGCUAAUACCGCAUAAGAGUAGAUGUUGCAUGACAUUUGCUUAAAAGGUGCAAUUGCAUCACUACCAGAUGGACCUGCGUUGUAUUAGCUAGUUGGUGAGGUAACGGCUCACCAAGGCAACGAUACAUAGCCGACCUGAGAGGGUGAUCGGCCACACUGGGACUGAGACACGGCCCAGACUCCUACGGGAGGCAGCAGUAGGGAAUCUUCGGCAAUGGACGGAAGUCUGACCGAGCAACGCCGCGUGAGUGAAGAAGGUUUUCGGAUCGUAAAGCUCUGUUGUAAGAGAAGAACGAGUGUGAGAGUGGAAAGUUCAC